UGGGGAACCUGCCCCAUAGUCUGGGAUACCACUUGGAAACAGGUGCUAAUACCGGAUAAGAAAGCGGAUCGCAUGAUCAGCUUUUAAAAGGCGGCGUAAGCUGUCGCUAUGGGAUGGCCCCGCGGUGCAUUAGCUAGUUGGUAAGGUAAAGGCUUACCAAGGCGAUGAUGCAUAGCCGAGUUGAGAGACUGAUCGGCCACAUUGGGACUGAGACACGGCCCAAACUCCUACGGGAGCAGCAGUC
Molecule: ribosomal RNA, 244 nt
Filed under: uncultured Lactobacillus sp.
Lineage: Bacteria; Bacillati; Bacillota; Bacilli; Lactobacillales; Lactobacillaceae
Description: partial 16S ribosomal RNA
Rfam family: Bacterial small subunit ribosomal RNA
Source: RNAcentral